RNAcentral lists this ribosomal RNA (391 nucleotides) under uncultured bacterium. RNAcentral's name for it is "bacterial SSU rRNA". It matches the Rfam family "Bacterial small subunit ribosomal RNA", at positions 28 to 420 of the family's 1533-position model. The record is from RNAcentral.
GACGAACGCUGGCGGCGUGCUUAACACAUGCAAGUCGAGCGGUAAGGCCCUUUCGGGGGUACACGAGCGGCGAACGGGUGAGUAGCACGUGGGUGACCUGCCCUCAGCUCUGGGAUAAGCCUGGGAAACCGGGUCUAAUACUGGAUAUGACUCCAUGACGCAUGUUGUGGGGUGGAAAGCCUUGUGCGGCUGAGGAUGGGCCCGCGGCCUAUCAGCUUGUUGGUGGGGUGAUGGCCUACCAAGGCGACGACGGGUAGCCGGCCUGAGAGGGCGACCGGCCACACUGGGACUGAGACACGGCCCAGACUCCUACGGGAGGCAGCAGUGGGGAAUCUUGCGCAAUGGGCGAAAGCCUGACGCAGCGACGCCGCGUGAGGGAUGACGGCCUCGG